RNAcentral lists this ribosomal RNA (500 nucleotides) under uncultured bacterium. RNAcentral's name for it is "partial 16S ribosomal RNA". It matches the Rfam family "Bacterial small subunit ribosomal RNA", at positions 30 to 523 of the family's 1533-position model. The record is from RNAcentral.
AUUGAACGCUGGCGGCAUGCCUUACACAUGCAAGUCGAACGGCAGCACGGGAGCAAUCCUGGUGGCGAGUGGCGAACGGGUGAGUAAUAUAUCGGAACGUGCCCAGUCGUGGGGGAUAACGCAGCGAAAGCUGUGCUAAUACCGCAUACGAUCUAAGGAUGAAAGCGGGGGAUCGCAAGACCUCGCGCGAUUGGAGCGGCCGAUAUCAGAUUAGCUAGUUGGUGGGGUAAAGGCCCACCAAGGCGACGAUCUGUAGCUGGUCUGAGAGGACGACCAGCCACACUGGGACUGAGACACGGUCCAGACUCCUACGGGAGGCAGCAGUGGGGAAUUUUGGACAAUGGGCGCAAGCCUGAUCCAGCAAUGCCGCGUGCAGGAUGAAGGCCUUCGGGUUGUAAACUGCUUUUGUACGGAACGAAACGGCCCUUUCUAAUACAGGGGGCUAAUGACGGUACCGUAAGAAUAAGCACCGGCUAACUACGUGCCAGCAGCCGCCGUAA